CCUACGGGUGGCUGCAGUGGGGAAUAUUGGACAAUGGGGGCAACCCUGAUCCAGCCAUGCCGCGUGUGUGAAGAAGGCCCUCGGGUUGUAAAGCACUUUCAGUGAGGAAGAACGCCUGGUGGUUAAUACCCAUCAGGAAAGACAUCACUCACAGAAGAAGCACCGGGUAACUCCGUGCCAGCAGCCGCGGUAAUACGGAGGGUGCGAGCGUUAAUCGGAAUUACUGGGCGUAAAGCGCGCGUAGGUGGCUUGAUAAGCCGGUUGUGAAAGCCCCGGGCUCAACCUGGGAACGGCAUCCGGAACUGUCAAGCUAGAGUGCAGGAGAGGAAGGUAGAAUUCCCGGUGUAGCGGUGAAAUGCGUAGAGAUCGGGAGGAAUACCAGUGGCGAAGGCGGCCUUCUGGACUGACACUGACACUGAGGUGCGAAAGCGUGGGUAGCAAACAGGAUUAGAUACCCGUGUAGUC
Molecule: ribosomal RNA, 465 nt
Filed under: Vreelandella stevensii
Lineage: Bacteria; Pseudomonadati; Pseudomonadota; Gammaproteobacteria; Oceanospirillales; Halomonadaceae
Description: partial 16S ribosomal RNA
Rfam family: Bacterial small subunit ribosomal RNA
Source: RNAcentral